AAUAAAUAUAAAAAAUCAAAACAUCGAUUACAUCAAACCCUAGAUGAGAGAUUUAGUUCAUGACGGAAGAACAAUAAAAUCUCAAAUUCAUGACUAAAAACAUAAAGAAGAAGAAAUGAGAUAAAAUCUGUCUACUGGAGUUUGAUUCAAUCUUCUUCUUAUUGUUGAUUUCGCUCCUUUGCUUGAUCUCUUACUUUUGCUUCGUCAAAAAGUGUAGUUAAAAAGUGCCUCACAAGUUGUAUUUAUGCCUUAUUCAAGUUUUGGACAAGUUUUAGUAGAAUUGGCAUUUUAAACAAAUGAGAAAUCGAAAUAAAUCCCGAUUCUUGUGGCAUAAUAGUGCUUGGGCGCUACUUCCUUCAACUAGUUGGCGUCCAGGGGCUUCGAUAUGCGUUUAGGUGCUACAUCUCUACAAUUAUUAUCUAUUUUUAGCUCUAGUGGCUCCUAGGUGUUCGAGACAGAGCAAUUGGCUUUAAGUGGCAACUAGAUACCACUAAGUGCCACCAAGAUAGUACUAGUGGCCUUCGUGAUCAAUUUCGUUCAUUUUUGGCUUCUUUCUUUGCAUGGUUUCAACUAUUUUUUUUCCAUGGUUCAUGAAUAAACACCAUUCUUUAGUUGUUCCAAACUCCUUUUCACCACUUCACCUAACCUAAAAAUAACACUAAAACACACAUCAAAACAUUCUAAAUCUCAAAGUAUUAGUGAUACUCGUUCAUCAAACACCCCAAACUUUAUAUUUUGCUAGUCCUCAAGCAAACACAAAAACAAAAGAAAAGAUCUAAUGCAAAAACACAUACAAAACUAAACCUAUCAACUCGUAUAAAACAAGUUUAGUUAGAUAGCAGGCCUUUCUAGCUCAGGAUUGAAACACUACAUCAAAUUUAUGAAUUGAUUCAAAAUCAUAAUGCAAAAGCCAAAUUCUACUUAUCCAUUACAAAAUGGAUAUGUGUGUGUGAAGAAUCAAGUACAACGUUGUACACACAAUUUGGUUGAAUUCCUGAUCCUCAAUAGUCAAAUAUAUCAUUUCUUCACUCAUGAGAUUUACACAUCCAAACUUAUUUUCUUUUAUUCUCUUCCCAGGAUAUAUUCUAAGGUUCAUUUUCAAUUUACUACUUUCUUUCACCACUUAAAUUUGGUUGAUUCUAAUUGACAACAUUAACAAUCUAUCCAUGCGAUGAUUCUUCUAAACUUUGAGUGCUUCAACCAUCAAGCUUAUACUAAACAAUUCACACUCACUUGUUAUCUAAGCCCUCACAAUUCAAUCUUAUUUGCAUAGUUACUUGCUCUUUUAUUUUCAAUUUUGUUUUUAGUUCAAGAUCUACCCACCCUUUUAAGCUUUCUUCUUGACCCCUGUAAUGAGCUUUUAGUCGAUAACUCCUUAGCUUUAAAGGCCAAAGGGUGCCUAGUUUUGAGAUACCCCAACGGAUUUACUAACUUGAGUGAAAAAAAGGCUACGGAGUAAAGCACAUGAUCAACAACUACGAUGCCGUUUUCUUUUUUUUUUUCAAGGCAAACAUAAAUGGGGCUUGGAUCCCUAGCAUUCAAUCAUUACCUAGCUUAUACUUGAUAGUUAAAGAGACUCCACAUAAGUACUUUUUUCAACAUGCACAGAUCAACACAGUUCUAAAUAAUUUCUUUCUCCAACUUGAC
Molecule: long non-coding RNA, 1647 nt
Filed under: Olea europaea subsp. europaea
Lineage: Eukaryota; Viridiplantae; Streptophyta; Magnoliopsida; Lamiales; Oleaceae
Source: RNAcentral